Molecule: long non-coding RNA, 6637 nt
Organism: Mercenaria mercenaria
Lineage: Eukaryota; Metazoa; Mollusca; Bivalvia; Venerida; Veneridae
Exons: 2
Source: RefSeq, a predicted model, not a curated record
UGUGUUUUUAAUGAUUACCAUUCAAAACCUGUUACUGAAGGAGCUCUUAUCCUGUUGUAAAGGCCCGUUUUAGCUUAUAUCUUAUUGGUAUAUUAAUAUACUUGUUGCGAUUUAAUCUCCUUUUGGGUCCUUUCAGUUCUGCACAUGGAAGAAGAAGGUCGUUUGCAAAUAGAUGCCAGGGUUGAUUUUGCUUCUUAUCGAAGGAAUCCUCGAUUGUUUAUACUUGCUGAUGUUUAAUAUAUGGACUUAUUUAUUCAAUGCGCAUUUAGAUAUUGUGAGAGAAUACUUAAAUAGUAUUUUGAGAUUUUUGUUGAGUGAUUUAAAUCUAUAAGUUAUGCAGUUUAUAUAGCAGGGAGGUAGGCUGGUAUUAUUUGCUUAUUUGUAAUAUAGUUUGUAUUUAUUGUACGGAUAUAUCUGUGUAAUUACCGAAGGACUUAAACAUUAAAUUGAUUAAUAGCUUUUCUAUUAUACUUUCCAGUUAUCAUAAUGACUGUUUGUUUUGUGACCUGCUACAAUUUAAUCCUGGAGUAUUGGGGUGCUUAUUUUUGUGUUACUGGAAGGUAUACACUUAAACGAGAGGUAAAAGAGCAGGUCGAUAUUCGAAGAUAAUGUCAAGAUCAACACAGUCCAGAUGGUACAUCCACACCGCAACGCCACCCAGCCGUUUCAGCCCCGCAACCGGUGAAUCUGAACCCGCAACAACUUGUGGUUGUGGUGUGCCUUGUUGCAGAACACCAUUGUCCCGUGUUUACGCAGCGAAGGAGCAUUUUGGCUGAUGAUUCGCGGCACUCUCAGACAGUGUUGAACAAAAUGGUGAGUUGGUUCCGAUGUAGAGCAUUUAUAACGACUUGGGAGACCACGUUUCAGCAAAUGUUAAACUUACGAUGGUUAAUGGCGAAUUCAUAGAGUAAACAGUAUUGUCACGCUCAGAUCACACUAAUAACAGUCAAGGUCAGAGUUUUUUCUUGUUACUGAAGCAGACUGAUAUCUAAAAUUUCAGUCAAAGGCUCCGGCCAAAAAGAUAGAUUCAUUGCCGGUCCUUAAUGUACAUGAGUAUCUAUAUAUACCGUGCGCAAGAAAAUGGUAUGACUUUAGUUUUCAAGGUAUUUGUACCAAAUUUGCUUGUGUAUACGAACAUAGAUGUACGCGUUGUCAUGGGAAGCACUCUAGGAAGUAUUUAUUUUUUCAGAAUCACGUAGCUACCAAUCAAUAUCGUUCUAGGUACUCGUCACUUGGACCACGUGGAAACUUCAGAUAGCCAAAACCGGCAUCUCAAAGAGGGUCACUUUAACCUCCAUUCCCUCACCAAAACCCUUAUUGACUUAGCAGUAUUACAAGUCUAUCUUUCUUUAUAUCCAUAAUAAUAAGUGGCAGCUGAAUGUUUAGAGGGUUCUAACAAAGGGUUUCGAUUACAAAACCAGCGCCCUAGAGUCCAAACUUCGUGUCAAACUUUAAUUUCCGUUAGGCAAAACUCUGCUGUAGCUAAUAAGAAAGUUAUGUAGGAAGAGCAGUUAAGCAGAUUUGCGGUUCCUUUUCAAGAAAUUCUUGUUCCAAAUUUCAGGCAAUCCGCGAUCAGUCUUGUGGCCAAAAAAGAUGGUAGCUCGAGGAUUAUACGCCAUCUUUCCUUCCCGCAGGGUUAAAGUUUGAAUGAUUUUUAUUGAUACGGCUUCUUCCUCAGUUCAGUACACUUCUUUAGACAGGGUGACGGAGCUAUUGUUUCAUAAGUGCAAUAUUGCGAAAUGGCUAAAAUUGUCAUAAAAUUUGCCUUUCGCCUUUUGAGGUUCAUAAUUAUGAUUUUGAAAUUAUUAGGCUUCUUACUAGGAGGGGAUUAUUUUACGGACAAGGCGUUACCUAUGAGUGUGCAAUCUCUUGCUGCCAUUGGGAAAAGUUUGCUAAUUUAUUACAAUAGCUGGUCCGGUACAAGAGGAAAUCCGAAAGGCUGUUUUAUUACUUGGAUAAUUAUGUUUGUUUGGCUGGCUCUAAUUCAGGGAAUGUAUGACCAAUUUGUUCUGUUUUAUAGAUAUGUGCAAAUACCCAUUUUUGAUUUUUAUGGAUAUGUGAGCUUGUACACACGAACUCAAGCUCCUCGAAUAUAAGUGCUAAAGGUCACGCAUUAUGUGAGGGAGACGUAAGUAUUGUAAGUAUUGAUGUACUUCGCAUAAUUCUUCAUUCAUCAAAAAAAAAACCGAUCAGAAAAAGGCGAAGGAGUAGCUAUUCAUUUACAACCGGCACAUUGUUCUACUUGACCCCUGGAUUUAAUAGAGCGAUAUAUGGUUGUUCGACCAUCUAGUGCUUCAAACUAUUAAUUUGUUUAUUUAAACGGUCUACCCGUCAUACGCUGUCAGUUUAGUGGGUUCUAAAGAAAUCUUUGACUGCCAUUCCAUAUAAACCACAUUCAUUCAGAGUAGGUGCUGCAACAGCAGCAUGACUGCUGACGAUAUUACAAGAAUGGGACGUUGCGCCCCGGAUUCAAGUGCAUUUAAAUCUUACAUUAGAAUCCUCUCACGUCAGCUGUUGUCACUCAGAUCUUAAGCCUAUUGGCAGUUUCAUUUGUACCUGCCAUCUGUUUGCCCAUUUUUUGUUGACAAAUGUUUUCAGCUUUUCAGUGCGUCCUACCCAUAUUUGGAUAGUUGGAUGUUCAAUGAUAAAGUCGGUAUUUCGUUACGACAAGGAAUCAGCUGAGGGUUCUCAGCUUGUAAUGCAGCGUCAUAAUGCGACCAUACUAUGUCAGAGUCAGGGUGGUAUGAAAUUGUGGCAAGUUAAACCUUUAAUCUUACACUUGUUUCCUUUUGAAGACAAUCAAGGUAUGAUUGUUAUUCACUGUGUAAUUAACUUAUUUUUCAUUAGAGAGAGCUAGAAAACGCGUUAAUAAUUUCGCUGCUCAUUUGUUUUUACAAUACAUUGGUGGAUACUUUCGUUAACCAGAAAUCGUCGAAUCCGUGACGGGUCUCUUCAACAGGGAUGGGGUGCACUUGUCAUAAUUUGGAAAUAUUUUGUUUUUAUUCACUCUGCAACACAAGCUUCAGUCCUUCCUAGCAGUAAAUUAUUUAGGCACAGCUUCUCAGGCAGGGAUUGCUUCGCUAUACUGGUGGCGGUUGUCAAGAAUUUUCCACGUUGUUCCAAAUUCUCGACAUGUGGCGGUUAGGUCAGCCUCCACCAGUAUAUCUUAACGUUGUGUAAUAAGAAGUUUGUUUGUUUCAAGUAUACUGUAUUAGGCCUCUGUUCACAGGGCCUCCACAUCUGCAUUUUAAACAUAUACUUUAUAUCAUAUGUAUUUGUAUAUUGACAUUUAUGUGAAGCUGUGACCAAUUUCUGCCAACCAUUAAUUUAAACGAAAUUAGAUAUUAAUUGCUUGCUUUAGUAAAAUUGUUAAUAGUAAAAGUAAUGUAUUCAUAUAACUGUCUUGGGUUGUUCUUUUUAGUAUUAUUAUUUCUGUGCCAAGCUAUCUUCAGUAAUGUGUUUUUAAUGAUUACCAUUCAAAACCUGUUACUGAAGGAGCUCUUAUCCUGUUGUAAAGGCCCGUUUUAGCUUAUAUCUUAUUGGUAUAUUAAUAUACUUGUUGCGAUUUAAUCUCCUUUUGGGUCCUUUCAGUUCUGCACAUGGAAGAAGAAGGUCGUUUGCAAAUAGAUGCCAGGGUUGAUUUUGCUUCUUAUCGAAGGAAUCCUCGAUUGUUUAUACUUGCUGAUGUUUAAUAUCCCACCCUCCACUCCCCUUAUUUUGCUUGUGUUCUCCUUUUUCUUUAUAAUUUCAGGUACAUCUUAUGUGUUCAAGUUCAGCCUACACCUUCCUUGCCUUCAGUCGUUACAGCUUCACAUGGAAUAUUGGCAGUUUUCACAUGUUGAUGAAUGAACAUGACAGUGUUUGUUUUCUAGAACUGUGAAAUGUGUAUGUGUCAUAUAUAAACGUUUAACGUAGUUACUGAUUCUGUAUGUCUGAUUUUGUAUACCUGAUCUCCGUUGAAUUCUGAUCCCAGGUUCGGCGGUUAGGUCAGCCUCCACCAGUAUAUCUUAACGUUGUGUAAUAAGAAGUUUGUUUGUUUCAAGUAUACUGUAUUAGGCCUCUGUUCACAGGGCCUCCACAUCUGCAUUUUAAACAUAUACUUUAUAUCAUAUGUAUUUGUAUAUUGACAUUUAUGUGAAGCUGUGACCAAUUUCUGCCAACCAUUAAUUUAAACGAAAUUAGAUAUUAAUUGCUUGCUUUAGUAAAAUUGUUAAUAGUAAAAGUAAUGUAUUCAUAUAACUGUCUUGGGUUGUUCUUUUUAGUAUUAUUAUUUCUGUGCCAAGCUAUCUUCAGUAAUUGUAAAAACCUGAAAUUCAAUAAGAAACUUCAAUAAACUUUCAAUAUAUGUAUUCAACUCGCAAGAAACCAACAAGGCUACAUAAAAUAUUCUAAUCUAUAUUUCAAAAUGACGAUACAAUAUCAGGUAAAUAUCAAACCUCCUUUUCAUGUCACUGCAGUGUGUUUCAGCUUUCCCUCAUCAGCGAUUCACUUCCGCAGAGAUAUAUAUCAUCAAAUGAUAAUAUCUCGUAUAACAAUUGAAUGUUAAAUGUCAAUCUGGCAACAGAAAGUAUUGUUGCCAGAAAAGCAUUAACUUGUUGACUUCAUAUUGUCACACCGAACAAAUAUCAAACAACUAUUGCUAUAACAAUUCUAUACUGUUUAGUAUAUUAUUGUGGUAUACAAUUAGUAUAGCAUUGUAUUGUAUGCUAGUUGACCAUCGAUAAUAUGCUAUCUCGUAAACUAUGGUGUGUAUACCAUUAGUACACCAUUAUUCUUUAACAUUGCAAGGAAUUCAUAUUUUGCAUUCUGUUGAUCAUAAACUUUAUAAGUAUGUACUAUUAGUGUAUCACAGAACUUAGACAAUCCUGAGCAGUAUACAUUUAUAUGUAAUGAUAAAAGGUAUGAUAAAAUUUUGAAAGAUAAAUUAAACUUGUGUGCCUACUGGGAAAAUAUCUGUUUUCGUAAAAUUGCAAUUUGUGUUAGUCAAAUUAGAGUCUGUGUGUUCCCAACCAAUUACUUGCUCUUCAAAGUUUUCUUAAAUGCUUUGGAAUUCAAAGUAUAUUUUCAUUUCCGUUUCUUGGAGUAGGCUUAAAAACGUUUGAUUUGUGUGGUUGUUCUUUCUUUAACAGAAUAAUCGGAUCUUUUUCAUACCUUUCAAAAAUAUAUCAAUGUCAAGUGGAAUAUGUGUAGCAAAUAAACAAUUAUUAGCAGUCAUCUUUGCUUUGUUUUAUUACAGACAGAAAUUAUCUAUGAUCCUUAGUAACUAGGAUUUUGUGUGGGUUUUUAUGACUAAUGUGGGAUCUGAGUGCUAAAUGAUCAUUUAAUCUGUUAUAAGUUUUGUCAGGGUUAAUAUGUUAAACAGUGGUAAUUCAUCUGGAUUCGUAUCAGUUUUAAAGAAAACUCUGGAAGGUUUGACUGUUUUUUUUUUCUUUUUAAUAUUUCUUAUUAUUAAUUUACAAACUGAAGGUGGUAAAUCACAAUAAAGCAACAUUUUAUGAUAUUUUUAGUUUUCAUACAUUCUGUCAGAGACUUUUUAAAGGAAUGAAAAGACCUAUUACCUAGAAUUCAAUUCCUGUUAGUCUUUUCUGCAAUUUUGUAACAUAUGACAAUAUUUAAAAAGUGAUUUCAAUAUAUUUUCUAGUUUCAUAUUUGCAUUUGACAGAUAUUUCGAUAUUUCAAGAAUCUGAACCUAACAACAAGUUCGAUGUGUUCAUAUGUAUUUGUACAAUUGCGAGUUUAUGAUUUAAUAGUGUGUUAUAUCUUCAAUACAUGGAGGGAUGCCAAAUCGGUUUUGACAUACCUGAAUAAAGUAUUUUGAAGUUUUUCAGUUAAAAUACAACUCUUGAUCAUGAGUAUUGUUUGAUUGUCAUCUGUAAUUGUUCUGUCCAUUUUCAGAUUCUUGUUAUAUGCACUUUAGUCCCUUAUGUUAUCUGCACUGCCACUUACAGUUACAAAGAAAAUCUAUUUUGUAUGCAGUAAUGGUUUAUUAAAAAAUCAAAUAUAGGCAUUUCAACUUCCUUGCAUAUUGUACAAUGUCAUCCUCAUUUCUUGAAAGCAUUCUAAUACCAAAUCAACUUUUUUUUUGAUAGUAUAGAAUUAGUAGUUUGUUCACAGUAGACAUUUAGUACACUAUUAAUAAUAUACAAUUAGUAUAUUAUUAACAGUAUACAAUCAGUAUGCUAUUAACAAUAUACAAUUAUUAUACUAUUAAGAGUAUAUAUUUAGUACACUAUUAUGCAUAUCAUUACACAGUUUAAUUAGUGUUAGUAUCUAAAUUGAUAGUGAUUGAUAGUAUACUUUAGCUCAUUUGCAUGUGCAAUUUUAACUAAUUCUAUACUAACAGUAUAUUGUACACGUUUUGUUGUUUGUUAUAGUAAUUUGUUACCCUGUUCCAUUUUUGGUUUGGGGAGAUCUAGUUAACUACCUCAAGUCUACUCCCUCUCAAGUAGUUAUUUAGUUUAUGUAUUUAUUUCUUAGGCUAUUGUUUUACAUUUUCAGCACAGGCAAAUGUGUUUGAAAAUGUACGUUGUUGUUUUUUAUAAGUUAGAUAUAACUAGACAUAUCACAGUCAAUUUACAGUUUGUGUUAUAUACUCAUCUUUAACUGGCAUCAAAAGGUAUAAACUUGUGUCUAUGUA